This 504-nucleotide ribosomal RNA is filed under the name uncultured bacterium. RNAcentral's name for it is "partial 16S ribosomal RNA". It matches the Rfam family "Bacterial small subunit ribosomal RNA", at positions 30 to 523 of the family's 1533-position model. The record is from RNAcentral.
AUUGAACGCUGGCGGCAGGCCUAACACAUGCAAGUCGAACGGUAGCACAGAGAGCUUGCUCUCGGGUGACGAGUGGCGGACGGGUGAGUAACGUCUGGGAAACUGCCCGAUGGAGGGGGAUAACUACUGGAAACGGUAGCUAAUACCGCAUAACGUCACAAGACCAAAGUGGGGGACCUUCGGGCCUCACACCAUCGGAUGUGCCCAGAUGGGAUUAGCUAGUAGGUGGGGUAAUGGCUCACCUAGGCGACGAUCCCUAGCUGGUCUGAGAGGAUUACCAGCCACACUGGAACUGAGACACGGUCCAGACUCCUACGGGAGGCAGCAGUGGGGAAUAUUGCACAAUGGGCGCAAGCCUGAUGUAGCCAUGCCGCGUGUAUGAAGAAGGCCUUCGGGUUGUAAAGUACUUACAGCGGGGAGGAAGGCGGUGAAGUUAAUAGCUUCACCGAUUGACGUUACCCGCAGAAGAAGCACCGGCUAACUCCGUGCCAGCCGCCGCCGUAA